Molecule: transfer RNA, 75 nt
Filed under: Thermoprotei archaeon
Lineage: Archaea; Thermoproteati; Thermoproteota; Thermoprotei
Also listed under: 1 other name
Description: tRNA-Glu
Rfam family: tRNA
About the family: Transfer RNA (tRNA) molecules are approximately 80 nucleotides in length. Their secondary structure includes four short double-helical elements and three loops (D, anti-codon, and T loops).
Source: RNAcentral
GCCUCGGUAGUCUAGCCCGGACAAGGAUAGCGGCCUUUCGAGCCGCGGACCCGGGUUCAAAUCCCGGCCGAGGCA